Molecule: ribosomal RNA, 232 nt
Filed under: uncultured bacterium
Lineage: Bacteria
Description: partial 16S ribosomal RNA
Rfam family: Bacterial small subunit ribosomal RNA
Source: RNAcentral
GAUCAUGGGCUCAGGAUAAACGCUGGCGGCGCACAUAAGACAUGCAAGUCGAACGGAAGUCGUUGUAAUGAUAUAGACAUGGACUGAGAACUUGUUCAAAGAAAGUGAAAGUUGACUUACAACAAUGGCUUUAGUGGCGGACUGGUGAGUAACACGUAAGCAACCUGCCUAUCAGAGGGGAACAACAGUUAGAAAUGACUGCUAAUACCGCAUAUACCUAAGUAUCGCAUGG